GAAGCUGGCCAGACAGUCGCUGUGUGCGGAACAAACCGGAGGGGGCAACCCGUCCGUGCCGGACACAGAGGAAAGUCCGGGCUCCACAGGGUAGGGUGACGGGUAACUCCCGUCCGCCGUGAGGCGAGGAACAGGGCCACAGAGAACGAACCGCCGAUGGCCGCCUGACUGGCGGCGCGCAAGCGCCGCGAAGUCUCCCUUGAAUGGGAUAGGGGGCGCGCGAGCGCCCGUGCAGUUUGCGCAAGCGAACCGCGACGGAUCAGGUAAGGGUGAAAAGGUGCGGUAAGAGCGCACCGCGUUCGCGGUAACGCGAACGGCACGGUAACCUCCACCCGGAGCAACACCGAAUAGGCAAGCGAUGACGCGUCCCGCCGAGCUUGCGGGUAGGUGGCUUGAGCCGUGCAGCAAUGCACGGCCCAGAGGAAUGACUGUCCACGACAGAACCCGGCUUACCGGCCAGCUUCACCC
This 468-nucleotide RNase P RNA is filed under the name Burkholderiales bacterium. Its description in RNAcentral is "RNase P RNA component class A". It matches the Rfam family "Bacterial RNase P class A". From Rfam's summary of the family: Ribonuclease P (RNase P) is a ubiquitous endoribonuclease, found in archaea, bacteria and eukarya as well as chloroplasts and mitochondria. The record is from RNAcentral. Lineage: Bacteria; Pseudomonadati; Pseudomonadota; Betaproteobacteria; Burkholderiales. RNAcentral also lists the same sequence under 1 other name.